GAGUUUGAUCAUGGCUCAGAGCGAACGCUGGCGGCAGGCCUAACACAUGCAAGUCGAGCGGGCGUAGCAAUACGUCAGCGGCAGACGGGAGAGUAACACGUGGGAACGUACCCUUCGGUUCGGAAUAACCCAGGGAAACUUGGACUAAUACCGGAUACGCCCUUACGGGGAAAGAUUUAUUGCCGAGGGAUCGGCCCGCGUCGGAUUAGCUAGUUGGUGGGGUAAUGGCUCACCAAGGCAACGAUCCGUAGCUGGGUCUAGAGGAUGAUCAGCCUCACUGGGACUGAGACACGGCCCAGACUCCUACGGGNAGCAGCAGUGGGGGAAUAUUGGACAAUGGGGGAAAACCCUGAUUCAGCAUGCCGCGGUGGAUGAAUAAAGGCCUAAGGGUUGUAAAGUCUUUUCGACGGGGAAAAAAAUGACGGUACCCGGUAAAAAACCCCCGGUUAAUUUCUGGCAACCACCCGGGUAAAGGGGAAAUUCCGGGCCCCUAAUUUAAUUCCCCCCUAAAGGAGGCGGAAUAAAAUUCCGGGGGGGCCGGUUUUUAAAAGGCGGGGGGGGGGAAAAACCCGGGGGGUCCCACAUAUUAUAACCUUUGGGGAAAAACCCCCCUUUUUCCGGGGGGGGGAAAAAAAAAAAAAAGCGCCCCCCCUUUUCGCCUUUCUCAAAAAUGGGGCGCCCAUAAUUUUGGGGGGGGGUUGGGGGGUCGCCCCCCCAAAAAAAAAACGCCCCCCUCCCCUCCUUUGGGGGGGAGAAACAAAAUAUUUUUUUAACCCCCGGGGGGGCGGGAGGG
Molecule: ribosomal RNA, 793 nt
Filed under: uncultured Alphaproteobacteria bacterium
Lineage: Bacteria; Pseudomonadati; Pseudomonadota; Alphaproteobacteria
Description: partial 16S ribosomal RNA
Rfam family: Bacterial small subunit ribosomal RNA (bases 1-490)
Source: RNAcentral